GGUGCCUGUGCUUUCUCCGCAGGUGAAAAGGGAAGAGGGUGCAAAUCCCUCACGGUCCCGCCGCUGUAAUGGAAGAGUCCGACGCAACGAUGUCACUGGAUGAACUGGGAAGACUGUGCCGGAUGAUGACGCCUGAGUCAGAAGACCUGCCUUUCUGU
RNAcentral lists this non-coding RNA (158 nucleotides) under uncultured Butyricicoccus sp. The record is from RNAcentral. Lineage: Bacteria; Bacillati; Bacillota; Clostridia; Eubacteriales; Butyricicoccaceae.